This 1002-nucleotide ribosomal RNA is filed under the name uncultured bacterium. RNAcentral's name for it is "bacterial SSU rRNA". It matches the Rfam family "Bacterial small subunit ribosomal RNA", at positions 356 to 1376 of the family's 1533-position model. The record is from RNAcentral.
GGGGAAUAUUGGGCAAUGGGGGAAACCCUGACCCAGCAACGCCGCGUGAAGGAAGAAGGCCUUCGGGUUGUAAACUUCUUUUACCAGGGACGAAGGACGUGACGGUACCUGGAGAAAAAGCAACGGCUAACUACGUGCCAGCAGCCGCGGUAAUACGUAGGUUGCAAGCGUUGUCCGGAUUUACUGGGUGUAAAGGGCGUGUAGGCGGAGAUGCAAGUUGGGAGUGAAAUCCAUGGGCUCAACCCAUGAACUGCUCUCAAAACUGCAUCCCUUGAGUAUCGGAGAGGCAAGCGGAAUUCCUAGUGUAGCGGUGAAAUGCGUAGAUAUUAGGAGGAACACCAGUGGCGAAGGCGGCUUGCUGGACGACAACUGACGCUGAGGCGCGAAAGCGUGGGGAGCAAACAGGAUUAGAUACCCUGGUAGUCCACGCUGUAAACGAUGAAUACUAGGUGUGGGAGGACUGACCCCUUCCGUGCCGCAGUUAACACAAUAAGUAUUCCACCUGGGGAGUACGACCGCAAGGUUGAAACUCAAAGGAAUUGACGGGGGCCCGCACAAGCAGUGGAUUAUGUGGUUUAAUUCGACGCAACGCGAAGAACCUUACCAGGAUUUGACAUCCAACUAACGAAGUAGAGAUACAUCAGGUACCCUUCGGGGGAAGUUGAGACAGGUGGUGCAUGGUUGUCGUCAGCUCGUGUCGUGAGAUGUUGGGUUAAGUCCCGCAACGAGCGCAACCCCUAUUGUUAGUUGCUACGAAAGAGCACUCUAGCGAGACUGCCGUUGACAAAACGGAGGAAGGCGGGGACGACGUCAAAUCAUCAUGCCCCUUACGUCCUGGGCUACACACGUAAUACAAUGGCGGUCAACAGAGGGAAGCAAAGCCGCGAGGUGGAGCAAAUCCCUAAAAGCCGUCUCAGUUCGGAUUGCAGGCUGCAACUCGCCUGCAUGAAGCUGGAAUUGCUAGUAAUCGCGGAUCAGCAUGCCGCGGUGAAUACGUUCCCG